GAUGAACGCUGGCGGCGUGCUUAACACAUGCAAGUCGAACGAGAACGGGUAUUAGCUUGCUAAUACUGUCAGCUAAGUGGCGCACGGGUGAGUAAUAUAUAGUUAAUCUGCCCUAGAGAGAGGGAUAACGUUUGGAAACGGACGCUAACACCUCAUAUGCCUUUAAAACAUAAGUUUGCAAGGGAAACAUUUAUGGCUCUAGGAUGAGACUGUACGGUAUCAGCUAAUUGGUGAGGUAAUGGCUCACCAAGGCAAUGACACCUAACUGGUUUGAGAGGAUGAUCAGUCACACUGGAACUGANACACGGUCCAGACUCCUACGGGANGCANCAGUGGGGAAUAUUGCACAAUGGAGGGAACUCUGAUGCAGCAACGCCGCCGUGGAGGAUGACACUUUUC
Molecule: ribosomal RNA, 399 nt
Filed under: uncultured bacterium
Lineage: Bacteria
Description: bacterial SSU rRNA
Rfam family: Bacterial small subunit ribosomal RNA
Source: RNAcentral